AUCUGUUCUUAUCAGUUUAAUAUCUGAUAUGUCCUCUAUACGAGGACUACAUAUUAAGCCGAUUUUUAGCUCUGGGAGAUGAAAAGGGGCUUGCUCCGUUCACUCCAAGCAUCGACCCGGUAUUGCAGCACCUCCGGGAACGGUGC
The sequence is a small nuclear RNA, 146 nucleotides long. Its record names the gene U2. It matches the Rfam family "U2 spliceosomal RNA". Rfam says of the family: U2 is a small nuclear RNA (snRNA) component of the spliceosome (involved in pre-mRNA splicing). Complementary binding between U2 snRNA (in an area lying towards the 5' end but 3' to hairpin I) and the branchpoint sequence (BPS) of the intron results the bulging out of an unpaired adenosine, on the BPS, which initiates a nucleophilic attack at the intronic 5' splice site, thus starting the first of two transesterification reactions that mediate splicing. The record is from Ensembl.